CUAGACUGGCGCUCCUUGAGG
This 21-nucleotide microRNA is filed under the name Echinops telfairi (small Madagascar hedgehog). RNAcentral describes it as "Ete-Mir-151_3p* (star (passenger))". Lineage: Eukaryota; Metazoa; Chordata; Mammalia; Afrosoricida; Tenrecidae. The record is from RNAcentral.